UAGGGAAUCUUCGGCAAUGGACGAAAGUCUGACCGAGCAACGCCGCGUGAGUGAAGAAGGUUUUCGGAUCGUAAAACUCUGUUGUUUGAGAAGAACAAGGACGUUAGUAACUGAACGUCCCCUGACGGUAUCUAACCAGAAAGCCACGGCUAACUACGUGCCAGCAGCCGCGGUAAUACGUAGGUGGCAAGCGUUGUCCGGAUUUAUUGGGCGUAAAGCGAGCGCAGGCGGUUUCUUAAGUCUGAUGUGAAAGCCCCCGGCUCAACCGGGGAGGGUCAUUGGAAACUGGGGGACUUGAGUGCAGAGGAGGGGAGUGGAGUUCCAUGUGUAGCGGUGAGAUGCGGAGAUAUAUGGAGGAAAACCAGAGGCGAAGGCGGCUCUCUGGUCUGUAACUGGCGAUGAGGCUCGAAAGCGUGGGGAGCAAACAGG
Molecule: ribosomal RNA, 429 nt
Filed under: Gemmatimonadota bacterium
Lineage: Bacteria; Pseudomonadati; Gemmatimonadota
Description: Gemmatimonadetes bacterium partial 16S ribosomal RNA
Rfam family: Bacterial small subunit ribosomal RNA
Source: RNAcentral